Molecule: long non-coding RNA, 350 nt
Organism: Athene cunicularia (burrowing owl)
Lineage: Eukaryota; Metazoa; Chordata; Aves; Strigiformes; Strigidae
Exons: 4
Source: RefSeq, a predicted model, not a curated record
AGACAUUUCUUCAAUCAGCCUCAACUUUUGCUUUUUCAGGCUGUUUUUCUUAGUUUUUCACAGGCCUGGUUUCUCAUCUCUCACAUCCCACCCCAUGACUCAAACACUCCAAGUUCUUCUUUGACCAUUGUGAUCUCAAAAGGUAUAGGGUAAAAGAAGACUGAAGGUUAGAGAGCAUAUAUCUCAUUGCUGUAAGGCAUAUUAAAAGCAAAAAUUUGCAUAAUAUCACAAUACUAAUGUUUACAAGCCAUCUUCCCCACCCCAUGAGUCCUGAGGAUCCCAGUGAUGUGACCCAUGACCCAGGGUUCCAUCCAUCAAACCAGUCCAUCAGUCCAAAUAAAAGAAGUUUU